GUCUAAGGUGAUACCACCCUGAACACACUCUAUCUCGUCUGAUCUCGGAAGCUAAGCAGGGUUGGUACUGGAUGGUACUUGGAUGGGAGAAAAUCUGCCUAGGGUA
RNAcentral lists this ribosomal RNA (106 nucleotides) under Carlito syrichta (Philippine tarsier). Lineage: Eukaryota; Metazoa; Chordata; Mammalia; Primates; Tarsiidae. The record is from RNAcentral.